Molecule: non-coding RNA, 1083 nt
Organism: Cyanistes caeruleus (blue tit)
Lineage: Eukaryota; Metazoa; Chordata; Aves; Passeriformes; Paridae
Source: RefSeq, a predicted model, not a curated record
CGGGGGCUCUUUCGCCAGGUGCUGGAGGCCGUGCAGCACUGCAGCAGCUGCGGGGUCCUGCACAGGGACAUAAAACCGGAGAACAUCCUGCUCGACCUGGCCACUGGGCAGCUGAAAUUGAUCGACUUUGGCUGUGGCGCCUUCCUGCAAGACACAGCCUACACCCAGUUUGCAGGAACCCUGUCCUACAGCCCACCAGAGUGGAUCCACCAGCAACGCUACCAUGGCCAGGCAGCAACAAUCUGGUCCCUGGGCCUCCUGCUCUACCAGCUGGUCAUAGGGAAGCACCCAUUCAUGAGGGGCCAGCAGAUCAUCUGGGGGCGGAUCUUGUUCCCACGACGGCUCUCCCAAGAAUGCCAAGAUAUUAUUAAGAGGUGUUUGUCCAUGCAACCCUCGGACAGGCCAUCCUUAGAAGACCUUUUCCGCGAUCCUUGGAUGCAGGCUGUUCAUCUGCCCUAGGAGAUGGGAGAGAUCCACAUGCACAGUUGGAUCCAGGGGCCUGGCAGGCAAGGAGAAGGAGCCCCUGGAGAAGCUGUUACCAGCUGGGGCUGCUGCUGGAGACACCAAGGGCAACCUCAAGGAUGGCAAUCUCUUCCUCUAGCUGGCCAGCUGAAGAUGAUGGAUUUCAAUUCUGGCAUGUCUUCUUCAAAGACUCGCUCCACGCCCAAUUUGCAGCCGGGCUCUGCGGAUACUGAGGCUGCUCUGGGCUCUGCCAGGGCUCUGCUGGGCUCAGCCCCAGGCACAGCUGGGCUCACCCUGCCCUCCCAUUGCUCUGACAGCUUUGCAUCACACGAGCCCGUUCCCAGCACACCGCCUGAGCUUUCUGCUUUUGCAGAAGUGCCACUGCUGCGUUCCUGAGGCAGUGCAGUCUGGAGCUGAUGGAUGAAGAAUUGCCCUUCUGCACUUCCGAACCAGAGCAAAAAGCUGUAAGUGGGACUUUGCAUCUUUAAGAAACACCUGAAUGUUUGAAAAGGAAUGUGCAGCUCAUUCACAGGAAAUCAUGCUAUGAAAAAGAAGUGUCAUUUGCUCCUGGUUCCUGUGUGGAGCAGCUCCCUUCCCGCUGGCUGAGCUGCUCAGGCAGAG